RNAcentral lists this ribosomal RNA (448 nucleotides) under uncultured bacterium. RNAcentral's name for it is "partial 16S ribosomal RNA". It matches the Rfam family "Bacterial small subunit ribosomal RNA", at positions 329 to 793 of the family's 1533-position model. The record is from RNAcentral.
GUCCAGACUCCUACGGGAGGCAGCAGUGGGGAAUAUUGCACAAUGGGGGAAACCCUGAUGCAGCAACGCCGCGUGAGUGAAGAAGUAUUUCGGUAUGUAAAGCUCUAUCAGCAGGGAAGAAGAUGACGGUACCUGAAUAAGAAGCCCCGGCUAACUACGUGCCAGCAGCCGCGGUAAUACGUAGGGGGCAAGCGUUAUCCGGAUUUACUGGGUGUAAAGGGAGCGCAGACGGCAGUGCAAGUCUGGAGUGAAAGCCCGGGGCCCAACCCCGGAACUGCUCUGGAAACUGUGCGGCUAGAGUGCUGGAGGGGCAGGCGGAAUUCCUAGUGUAGCGGUGAAAUGCGUAGAUAUUAGGAGGAACACCAGUGGCGAAGGCGGCCUGCUGGACAGUAACUGACGUUGAGGCUCGAAAGCGUGGGGAGCAAACAGGAUUAGAUACCCGAGUACG